GCUCAGAACGAACGCUGGCGGCGUGCUUAACACAUGCAAGUCGAACGAGAAAGGAACCUUCGGGUUCUGAGUAGAGUGGCGCACGGGUGAGUAACACGUGGAUAAUCUGCCUGAUGGACAGGGAUAACACCCCGAAAGGGGUGCUAAUACCGGAUAAGCCCACAGCAUCUACGGAUGCAGCGGGAAAAGGGGGCCUCUUCAUGAAAGCUUCCGUCAUCAGAUGAGUCCGCGGUCCAUUAGCUAGUUGGUAGGGUAAAGGCCUACCAAGGCGACGAUGGAUAGCUGGUUUGAGAGAAUGAUCAGCCACACUGGAACUGAGACACGGUCCAGACUCCUACGGGAGGCAGCAGUGGGGAAUCUUGCGCAAUGGGGGCAACCCUGACGCAGCAACGCCGCGUGAGUGAUGAAGGUUUUCGGAUCGUAAAGCUCUGUCAGGAGGGAAGAAACCCCGAACGGUUAAUACCCGUUCGGAUGA
Molecule: ribosomal RNA, 475 nt
Filed under: uncultured Desulfuromonas sp.
Lineage: Bacteria; Pseudomonadati; Thermodesulfobacteriota; Desulfuromonadia; Desulfuromonadales; Desulfuromonadaceae
Description: bacterial SSU rRNA
Rfam family: Bacterial small subunit ribosomal RNA
Source: RNAcentral